GGAGGCAGCAGUGGGGAAUUUUCCGCAAUGGGCGAAAGCCUGACGGAGCAAUACCGCGUGAGGGACGAAGGUCUGUGGAUUGUAAACCUCUUUUGUUAGGGAAGAUAAUGACGGUACCUAACGAAUAAGCAUCGGCUAACUCCGUGCCAGCAGCCGCGGUAAGACGGAGGAUGCAAGCGUUAUCCGGAAUUAUUGGGCGUAAAGCGUACGUAGGCUGUUAGAUAAGUCUGUUGUCAAAGCGCGAGGCUCAACCUUGUAAAGGCAAUGGAAACUGUUUGACUAGAGAGAGAUAGGGGCAGGAGGAAUUCCAGGUGUAGCGGUGAAAUGCGUAGAUAUCUGGAAGAACACCAGUGGCGAAACGUCCCUGCUGGAUCUCCACUGACGCUGAAGUACGAAAGCUAGGGGAGCGAAUGGGAUUAGAUGCCCCAGUAGUCCUACCCGUAAACGAUGGGUACUAGGUGGUGGUCGUAUCNACC
RNAcentral lists this ribosomal RNA (476 nucleotides) under Pseudanabaena limnetica. RNAcentral describes it as "bacterial SSU rRNA". It matches the Rfam family "Bacterial small subunit ribosomal RNA", at positions 344 to 837 of the family's 1533-position model. Lineage: Bacteria; Bacillati; Cyanobacteriota; Cyanophyceae; Pseudanabaenales; Pseudanabaenaceae. The record is from RNAcentral.